Molecule: non-coding RNA, 77 nt
Organism: Monodelphis domestica (gray short-tailed opossum)
Lineage: Eukaryota; Metazoa; Chordata; Mammalia; Didelphimorphia; Didelphidae
Source: Rfam
UGGCCAAGGAUGAAAACCACAGUCUGAUUGGGCAUGCUUUCCAUGCUCUGAUGGGUUAAAGGAUUUACCUGAGGCCA